CAACUUGGCUGUAUACAAAAAGUGUUCCUGGUGGUGGGUGAGUUGCAACAAGCAAGGGAAGAAUGAAAAUUAGUUGACCCAGCCUAGAUAAAUUAUUCAAAUAUAGGGAUCGAUGUUACUCACCCAGAUGGAGUCAUAUGCAACAGUUUGGUGGAAGCUGGAGCUUGACUCCUCCAAUUUCUUUCCAUCGGCUGGGAGAAGGAUCCUGCAGAUGAGAUCCCAAGCAACUCGCUAGCUCCCC
Molecule: long non-coding RNA, 241 nt
Filed under: Elaeis guineensis (African oil palm)
Lineage: Eukaryota; Viridiplantae; Streptophyta; Magnoliopsida; Arecales; Arecaceae
Description: long non-coding RNA (EGUI_LNC002548)
Source: RNAcentral